UUUAGAGAUUUUACAUGUUCCUAAAUCUGUUAAUUCUACAGAUAUUUUCUGUAAGGAUUUAACGCAUGCGCAAAAACAAUGCAGUGAUUCGACUAAGGCUGAGUACGAUUGAGUGCGAGAGGUUAAGGCGAAUUUAGUGUUUUUAUUAUUAUCAUAGUGUCGGCAAGAAAGUGUAUUUAUAUAUUUUUUGUUUAAAUUAUAAUACAUAUUAUAUUGAUUAAUAGUUUUUCAAUUUGGACAUAUUUGUUCAAAGUCAUUUAAAAGAAUGGAAUUGUCUGAUUUAAUUGAGACAUUUAAACGAUAAAACGAGAGAAAUUUCUUAAAUUAAGAAGUGAAAUUAAAGAAAUUUUUCCUACUGAAUUGCCCGAAGCCUGGUACAUGCCAUUAACACAAGGUUCUAAUGGAGAGAGCAUUAAUCCUCGAGGUAAAUUAUAUAAUAAAUAUAACGAAAAGAGAAGACUUUUAAACGAAAUAAAUUAUAUAAAAAAAAAUCAAAAGGGAAACAAAAUUUGGAAAGUGAGAUCUCUAUAGAAGUAUUAUCCAACGAUGACAUAUCAGUUGCUUUACACUUUCUAAAAAACAAUUUAGAGCCGGAAAAUAUUUUACUAAGUGCAUGGAAUGCAACUAGAGAAGUCCGUUUAAAUUUAAAAAAAUUAAGCAUUAAAGAGUAUUAUGAUACGUUUAAAUGCUUACAAGGAAUUUUGGCAUUCAACUGCUUCUGCAUGAUUUUGAUUCCAUUUAUGGAAUAAAUAGUGGAAAAUUCCUACUAAACUGGUCCA
Leptopilina boulardi is the source of this 779-nucleotide long non-coding RNA. RefSeq lists it as uncharacterized. The transcript is spliced from 4 exons. NCBI's taxonomy places the organism in Eukaryota, Metazoa, Arthropoda, Insecta, Hymenoptera, Figitidae. The record is from RefSeq and is a predicted model, not a curated record.